This 253-nucleotide ribosomal RNA is filed under the name uncultured bacterium. RNAcentral's name for it is "partial 16S ribosomal RNA". It matches the Rfam family "Bacterial small subunit ribosomal RNA", at positions 524 to 776 of the family's 1533-position model. The record is from RNAcentral.
UACGUAGGGGGCAAGCGUUGUCCGGAAUCAUUGGGCGUAAAGCGCGUGUAGGCGGUCCGGUAAGUCCGCUGUGAAAGUCGGGGGCUCAACCCUCGGAUGCCGGUGGAUACUGUCGGGCUUGAGUACGGAAGAGGCGAGUGGAAUUCCUGGUGUAGCGGUGAAAUGUGUAGAGAUCGGGAGGAACACCGGUGGCGAAGGCGGGUCUCUGGGCCGAUACUGACGCUGAGGAGCGAAAGCGUGGGGAGCAAACAGG